Molecule: ribosomal RNA, 2881 nt
Filed under: Xanthomonas campestris
Lineage: Bacteria; Pseudomonadati; Pseudomonadota; Gammaproteobacteria; Lysobacterales; Lysobacteraceae
Also listed under: 2 other names
Description: 23S ribosomal RNA
Rfam family: Bacterial large subunit ribosomal RNA
Source: RNAcentral
GGUCAAGCGAAUAAGCGCACACGGUGGAUGCCUAGGCGGUCAGAGGCGAUGAAGGACGUGGUAGCCUGCGAAAAGUGUCGGGGAGCUGGCAACAAGCUUUGAUCCGGCAAUGUCCGAAUGGGGAAACCCACUGCUUCGGCAGUAUCCUGCAGUGAAUUCAUAGCUGCUGGAAGCGAACCCGGUGAACUGAAAUAUCUAAGUAACCGGAGGAAAAGAAAUCAACCGAGAUUCCCUAAGUAGUGACGAGCGAACGGGGAGCAGCCCUUAAGCUGGAAUGGCUUUAGAAAAACAAUCUGGAAAGAUUGGCCAUAGAAGGUGAUAGCCCUGUAUUUAAAAGGGCCACUCCAGUGAAGACGAGUAGGGCGGGGCACGUGAAACCCUGUCUGAAUAUGGGGGGACCAUCCUCCAAGGCUAAAUACUCCUGACCGACCGAUAGUGAACCAGUACCGUGAGGGAAAGGCGAAAAGAACCCCGGAGAGGGGAGUGAAAUAGAUCCUGAAACCGUGUGCGUACAAGCAGUAGGAGCUCGCAAGAGUGACUGCGUACCUUUUGUAUAAUGGGUCAGCGACUUACUGUUCGUGGCAAGCUUAACCGUAUAGGGGAGGCGAAGGGAAACCGAGUCUGAUAAGGGCGCAUAGUCGCGGGCAGUAGACCCGAAACCGGGUGAUCUAGUCAUGGCCAGGGUGAAGGUGCCGUAACAGGUACUGGAGGCCCGAACCCACGUCUGUUGCAAAAGACGGGGAUGAGCUGUGAUUAGGAGUGAAAAGCUAAUCGAACCCGGAGAUAGCUGGUUCUCCUCGAAAGCUAUUUAGGUAGCGCCUCGGACGAAUACUACUGGGGGUAGAGCACUGUUAUGGCUAGGGGGUCAUCGCGACUUACCAAACCAUUGCAAACUCCGAAUACCAGUACGUACUAUCCGGGAGACACACGGCGGGUGCUAACGUCCGUCGUGAAAAGGGAAACAACCCAGACCCACAGCUAAGGUCCCAAAUUCACUGCUAAGUGGAAAACGAUGUGGAAAGGCAUAGACAGCCAGGAGGUUGGCUUAGAAGCAGCCACCCUUUAAAGAAAGCGUAAUAGCUCACUGGUCGAGUCGGUCUGCGCGGAAGAUUUAACGGGGCUAAGCAGUGAACCGAAGCUUGGGGUGCAUAAAACUUGUUUUAUGCGCGGUAGAGGAGCGUUCCGUAAGCCUGCGAAGGUGGAUUGAGAAGUCUGCUGGAGGUAUCGGAAGUGCGAAUGCUGACAUGAGUAACGAUAAUGCGGGUGAAAAGCCCGCACGCCGAAAGCCCAAGGUUUCCUUGCGCAACGUUAAUCGACGCAGGGUUAGUCGGUCCCUAAGGCGAGGGCGAAAGCCGUAGUCGAUGGGAAGCAGGUUAAUAUUCCUGCACCUCGCGUGAGUGCGAUGGAGGGACGGAGAAGGUUAGGUGUACCGGGCGUUGGUUGUCCCGGGGAAAGGCGGUAGGUUUGGAUCUUUGGCAAAUCCGGGAUCCUUUAAGACCGAGCACCGAGACGAGCCUUUAUGGCAAAGUCACUGAUACCACGCUUCCAGGAAAAGCUCCUAAGCUUCAGCUCACGAAGACCGUACCGUAAACCGACACAGGUGGGUAGGAUGAGAAUUCUCAGGCGCUUGAGAGAACUCGGGUGAAGGAACUAGGCAACAUGGCACCGUAACUUCGGGAGAAGGUGCACCCUUUUUGGUGGCUCAUGCGAGCUAUAGCUGAAGAGGGUCGCAGAAACCAGGCCGCUGCGACUGUUUAUCAAAAACACAGCACUCUGCAAACACGAAAGUGGACGUAUAGGGUGUGACGCCUGCCCGGUGCUGGAAGGUUAAUUGAUGGGGUCAGCCGCAAGGCGAAGCUCUUGAUCGAAGCCCCAGUAAACGGCGGCCGUAACUAUAACGGUCCUAAGGUAGCGAAAUUCCUUGUCGGGUAAGUUCCGACCUGCACGAAUGGCGUAACGACAGCGGCGCUGUCUCCACCCGAGACUCAGUGAAAUUGAAAUCGCUGUGAAGAUGCAGCGUUCCCGUGGCAAGACGGAAAGACCCCGUGAACCUUUACUAUAGCUUUACACUGAACGUUGAGUUCGUCUGUGUAGGAUAGGUGGGAGGCUAUGAAACUGUGGCGCUAGCUGCAGUGGAGCCAUCCUUGAAAUACCACCCUGUCGUGCUUGACGUUCUAACCUAGAUCCGUUAUCCGGAUCAGGGACCGUGUAUGGUGGGUAGUUUGACUGGGGCGGUCUCCUCCUAAAGAGUAACGGAGGAGCACGAAGGUACGCUCAGCGCGGUCGGACAUCGCGCACUGUGUGCAAAGGCAUAAGCGUGCUUGACUGCAAGAUCGACGGAUCAAGCAGGUACGAAAGUAGGUCUUAGUGAUCCGGUGGUUCUGUAUGGAAGGGCCAUCGCUCAACGGAUAAAAGGUACUCCGGGGAUAACAGGCUGAUACCGCCCAAGAGUUCAUAUCGACGGCGGUGUUUGGCACCUCGAUGUCGGCUCAUCACAUCCUGGGGCUGUAGUCGGUCCCAAGGGUAUGGCUGUUCGCCAUUUAAAGUGGUACGCGAGCUGGGUUCAGAACGUCGUGAGACAGUUCGGUCCCUAUCUGCCAUGGGCGUUGGAAGUUUGAGAGGGGCUGCUCCUAGUACGAGAGGACCGGAGUGGACGAACCUCUGGUGUUCCGGUUGUCACGCCAGUGGCAUUGCCGGGUAGCUAUGUUCGGAAGCGAUAACCGCUGAAAGCAUCUAAGCGGGAAGCGCGCCUCAAGAUGAGACUUCCCGGGGCACAAGCCCCCUAAAGGAACCAUAUAGACUAUGUGGUUGAUAGGUCAGGUGUGUAAGUACAGCAAUGUAUUGAGCUAACUGAUACUAAUGAUCCGUGCGGCUUGACCAU